UUCCAGACUCCUACGGGAGGCAGCAGUGGGGGAUAUUGCACAAUGGGGGAAACCCUGAUGCAGCGACGCCGCGUGAGUGAAGAAGUAUUUCGGUAUGUAAAGCUCUAUCAGCAGGGAAGAAAAUGACGGUACCUGAUUAAGAAGCCCCGGCUAACUACGUGCCAGCAGCCGCGGUAAUACGUAGGGGGCAAGCGUUAUCCGGAAUUACUGGGUGUAAAGGGAGCGUAGACGGUGAAGUAAGUCUGGAGUGAAAGGCGGGGGCCCAACCCCCGGACUGCUCUGGAAACUAUUUGACUGGAGUGCAGGAGAGGUAAGCGGAAUUCCUAGUGUAGCGGUGAAAUGCGUAGAUAUUAGGAGGAACACCAGUGGCGAAGGCGGCUUACUGGACUGUAACUGACGUUGAGGCUCGAAAGCGUGGGGAGCAAACAGGAUUAGAUACCCCCGUACC
RNAcentral lists this ribosomal RNA (448 nucleotides) under uncultured bacterium. RNAcentral's name for it is "bacterial SSU rRNA". It matches the Rfam family "Bacterial small subunit ribosomal RNA", at positions 329 to 794 of the family's 1533-position model. The record is from RNAcentral.